This 1084-nucleotide ribosomal RNA is filed under the name Aurantioporthe corni. RNAcentral's name for it is "SSU rRNA". It matches the Rfam family "Eukaryotic small subunit ribosomal RNA", at positions 1 to 1115 of the family's 1831-position model. The record is from RNAcentral. Lineage: Eukaryota; Fungi; Ascomycota; Sordariomycetes; Diaporthales; Cryphonectriaceae.
UUGUUAGUCAUAUGCUUGUCUCAAAGAUUAAGCCAUGCAAGUCUAAGUUUAAGUAACUAAACGGCGAAACUGCGAAUGGCUCAUUAAAUCAGUUAUCGUAUAUUUGAUAGUACCUACUACAUGGAUAACCGUGGUAAUUCUAGAGCUAAUACAUGCUUAAAAUCCCGACUUCGGAAGGGAUGUAUUUAUUAGAUUAAAAACCAAUGCCCUUCGGGGCUCACUGGUGAUUCAUAAUAACUUCUCGAAUCGCAUGGCCUUGUGCCGGCGAUGGUUCAUUCAAAUUUCUGCCCUAUCAACUUUCGACGGCUGGGUCUUGGCCAGCCGUGGUUACAACGGGUAACGGAGGGUUAGGGCUUGACCCCGGAGAAGGAGCCUGAGAAACGGCUACUACAUCCAAGGAAGGCAGCAGGCGCGCAAAUUACCCAAUCCCGAUACGGGGAGUAGUGACAAUAAAUACUGAUACAGGGCUCUUUUGGGUCUUGUAAUUGGAAUGAGUACAAUUUAAAUCCCUUAAGGAGGAACAAUAGGAGGNNNNNNNNNNNNNNNNNNNNNGCGGUAAUUCAGCUCGAUAGCGUAUAUUAAAGUUGUUGCAGUUAAAAAGCUCGUACUUGAACCUUGGGCCUGGCUGGCCGGUCUGCCUCACCGCAUGCACUGGUCCGGCCGGGCCUUUCCCUCUGGGGAGCCGCAUGCCCUUCACUGGGUGUGUCGGGGAACCAGGACUUUUACUGUGAAAAAAUUAGAGUGUUCAAAGCAGGCCUAUGCUCGAAUACAUUAGCAUGGAAUAAUAGAAUAGGACGUUGCGGUUCUAUUUUGUUGGUUUCUAGGACCGCCGUAAUGAUUAAUAGGGACAGUCGGGGGCAUCAGUAUUCAAUCGUCAGAGGUGAAAUUCUUGGAUCGAUUGAAGACUAACUACUGCGAAAGCAUUUGCCAAGGAUGUUUUCAUUAAUCAGGAACGAAAGUUAGGGGAUCGAAAACGAUCAGAUACCGUUGUAGUCUUAACCAUAAACUAUGCCGACUAGGGAUCGGGCGAUGUUUUUCUUUGACUCGCUCGGCACCUUACACGAAAGUAAAGUUUUUGGGUUCU